UUGGGACUCGACUGGUGUUUGAUCACGA
RNAcentral lists this non-coding RNA (28 nucleotides) under Homo sapiens (human). The record is from RNAcentral. Lineage: Eukaryota; Metazoa; Chordata; Mammalia; Primates; Hominidae.